UUUUUUUUUUUUUUUCCCUGAGCCGCUGUUUUGGGAUUUCUUGUCGGAGAUCACGAAAGUAAAAAUAAUUGUACAAUUUUAACAUGUUAAACCGUAGCACUUGUGGGGCUCUAGGUGAUUGGUGUCACAAUGUAUUAAAUGCACACUUGAGAACUAGUCCUUACUGUGUAACACUGUUGCACAGCUUUAAAAAUAACUUUGUGCCAGGCACCUUAUGGUGCAUUAUUUUGAUCCUCGGGUCAGCCUUACUGCCUAUUUAUAGAAGAGAGAAUGGAGGCUAAGAGAGGUUAGGAAGCAGGCUCUUGGUACACAGCAAAAGAGGAGCCGAGGGGAAGUUAAGCCUACUUGAUUUCGCAACCUGUACUUGGGUUGUUACGGAAUUCACUGGAAUAGCGUUAGGCCUUCAAGAAUUUCUUUGUAAUCAGAUCCUUCUAAAAUCUUGGCCACAUAGACACCUAGUGUCCUGCUUUGUAAAUUUUAUUUAUUCAUAGACACACAGAGAGGCAGGGACACAGGCAGAGGGAGAAGCAGGCUCCAUGCAGGGAGCCCGACGUGGGAAUGGAUCCCAGGACCCCAGGAUCAGGCACUGAACUGAAUGAACGCACCGCUAAACUGCUGAGCCAUCCAGGCUACCCUCUGCUUUGUUUUUUUGGUUUGGUUUGGUUUUCUUGACCUCAGUCCUUUGCAGUGAAAUUGCACAGUAACCCUGCUGAUUGCAAUGAGUAAAAAUCAUCAGUCUUUCACUUCUUAGUUCUAUAACAGUAACACCUGAUGAGUUAAAUUUAAAAUUUAAACCACGAUGUUGUAUUACAUUGUUUUGGCAGUUAGAAAUUUUUAUCCUACAACAGAUGUGACUAAAAGAAUUGAUCUUGUUGACAUGGUUACCCUCUUAUAGAAAGAAAUCAAAAGUAUCAUCUAUCAGUGUACGUUCUGGCAAGGGAGCUUUCACCAUAAAAUCAGGUUGAGCUUUUUUCCAUUGUUAGGUCACAGCCUGUUUCUGAUGCAAAACGUUUUUAUCUGCAAUUGUUAAGUCGUCUGUCUUAGGAAACACCAAGUUUUAUUAUAAAAAGAAAGCCUUUAUAAAAAACAUACCUUAAAAUGUACAUCAAAAUACUACUUAACAUUUUCAGGGCAGCGCGGGUGGCUCAGCGGUUUAGCCCCCUCCUUCAGCCUAGGGCAUGAUCCUGGAGACCCGGGAUCGAGUCCCACGUCCGCCUCCCUGCAUGGAGCCUGCUUCUCCCUCUGCCUGUGUCUCUGCCUCUCUGUGUCUCUCAUAAAUAAAAUCUUAAAAAAAAUUUUUUUCGGAGAAAGAACAAACUAUUUUUGAAGAUCUAACUUCAUACGAUGGACCCCAAACAAAUAUUGUAACCACAGCAACAAGUGGAAAAUGCUGAUUUCACAAGGCUGUGAGGGUUGGAAGUGGGUGUUCUUUACCAGAAGAAACCUUACGGUCUGAGUAUCUUUUUUGGAACCAAAUAUGGAUAAUCAUCUUUCUCAUUAUAGUCUGUGUCCUCUCACUUAAUUUUCUGCCCAAUUGAUUCUCUUGUAUUGAAACUCUUCAGAUACAAAUUUGACUCUUUUCAGCCCAGUUUUUAGAGAAUAGGGGCUGAAGGAAAGACUUUGGAACCAUGUCUAAGGACAGAUGGGCUGCAGGCUCUCAAGCAGCGUGUUUUCAUCCUGAGAGCCAGAAAGCUGUCCAGAAACUUCUCUUUUUACCAUC
Molecule: long non-coding RNA, 1720 nt
Filed under: Canis lupus familiaris (dog)
Lineage: Eukaryota; Metazoa; Chordata; Mammalia; Carnivora; Canidae
Description: lncRNA (ENSCAFG00845017482.1)
Source: RNAcentral